Anguilla anguilla (European eel) is the source of this 3770-nucleotide RNA transcript. It is a transcript of the gene named coiled-coil and C2 domain containing 1A, with no coding region annotated. Lineage: Eukaryota; Metazoa; Chordata; Actinopteri; Anguilliformes; Anguillidae. The record is from RefSeq and is a predicted model, not a curated record. The transcript is spliced from 30 exons.
CAGAGUAGGAAGCAGGAAGUAAAUGGCACAAUAUUUUUGUCGUGAAGCUGUUGUAGGCUAGAUUGUUAAUGGUGUUCAUAAUCAAUUGUAGUUUUUGGUGAUUACGUGCCUUUAAUUCAACACAGAGGAGAACCACUGUGUUGCAGGCAAUACUGGGAAACUUAUGAUUCGGUUCUGACCCGGUUCUAUUCGCUGGUGUCUCCAUGAGCCGCAGUCGAAACGCCCCGGCCCGGGGCCAGGGGGCUGCCAAGGCCAGGCAGAUGGGCCUGCUGCUGGACCUGGAUGGGGGCGCGGACCUCGGGGGGGAUGACGGCGCCUUGGAGGCGGAGCUUCUCUCCCUGGUGGGAGACGGUGGGCAGCCAGGGGGGAAGAAAAAUGGAGGCAGAGCUCCAGUGCCGAUGGAGGACAUCGAGCGCAUGGCCGCCCUCUGCAUGAAGGACCUGGACGAGGAUGAGGAAGGAGACGAUGAUGGGGACUUGGAGAGCGACGCAGACCUAUUGGCGGAGCUGAACGACGUCUUGGACGACAACGAGGAAGAGGAGAAACCCGUCUCCCCGCCUCAGACGAAAGCGCCCGCCCCGUCCGGUGCUCCGCCCCCCGGCGGCUCCGGUGGGCUGGAGUCCCGCCUCGUGGAGCGCAUCGACAUGUACCAGGCCGCCAUCGGCAACGCCAAGGCCGCGGGGGAGUCCAGCAAAGCGCGCCGGUACGACCGGGGCCUGAAGACAUUGCAGUCCCUGUUGUCGUCCGUGAAGAAAGGAAAGCCAAUCAACGAGGAGGAUAUCCCACCUCCCGUCGCCACGGGCGCCAACCCCGCCCCCGAAUCUCAGCCUGAGCCUAUCAGACGGGUGGAACGGCCAUCGUCCGAGCCUGCACCUGCCCCUCCAGUCAAUGAGAAACCCCUUCGAGAUGCACCAGCCCCGCCAUCCAGACCCCAGCUCCUGACGCCUCCACAGAAGACUUUAGCCGUGACCCCAGGCACGCCCCUCAUCUCUCCUCUGACCCCCAGCCAGCCGGACACUCAGCAUUCAGAGGCUAAGAGCCUGGUUCUGAGCAGACAGAGGGAGUACAAACUGGCCGCCAUCCAAGCCAAGCAGGGCGGAGACACGGACCUGGCCAAGCGCCACUACCUGACAGCCAAGAGGUUAGACGUGGUGGUGGAGGCCCUGGACAGAGGAGAGCCACUGGACAUCGGCGCCCUACCGCCCCCUCCUGGAGACGCCGUGGCAGAGAGCCCAGCUCCACCUACACAGCGCUCCUCCCAGCCCCCCGCGGCAGCCCCCGCAGCCCCUGCAGCGCCCCCUGUGGCCGAUGCUGCUCUCCCAGCUCCUCGCAGUGUGGCGGAGGCACUGCAGCAGCGCAUGGACAAAUACAAGGCAGCUGCCGACGGCGCCAAGAGCAAGGGGGACGACCGCAAGGCCCGCAUGCACCUGCGCAUCGUCAAGCAAUACCAGGACGCCAUCAGAGCUCAAAAAGCCGGACGCCCCGUCAACCUGUCGGACCUCCCCGUGCCUCCCGGCUGUCCGCCGCUUCAGGGCGCUGAAAGCGGGGAGCAGAACUUCAUGGGCGUCCUGGAGAACGCCAUGAAGCUGGCCAAUCAGGACGCAGAUGCAGAGGAAGAGGACGGGCCAGAGGAAGGAGUGGCGAAGACGGCGGUAAGGCCCGUUGCCCAGCGAGCGAAGGCUCCGGCCCCCUCCCCGGAGACUCCUCCCGCCCCCGGUCAGGGCUCUAAGCUGGGGCCUAAAGCCCAGCAGCAGCUGGACUUCCUGCAGACGCGCAGGCAGCAGUUCAUGCGUGCGGCGCUGCGCUCCAAGCAGAUGAAGGACAUGCAGGGAGCCGCGCUGCACCUGCGCCACGCCAAGGGCCUGGACCCCAUGAUCUCCGCCGCCCAGGGCGGGCUGCCCGUCGACAUCACCAAGGUGCCCAGUGCUCCAGUCUCUGAGGAGGACUACUCUCUGGCUCAGUCCCGAAGCUCUCCGCUCUCCCCCCGCACCUCUGAGCAGUACGCCCAGCUCAUGGACCACCUGCGCCAGCAGCAUGAGAAAUGCCUGGGAUAUUCCCAGCAGUUCACCCACAUGGGCAACGUCGCCGAGACGACCAGGUUCGAGAAGCUGGCGGCGGAGUGCAUGCAGAGCAUCGAGAUCCUGAAGAAGGCUCACGCCAAGGGCUACGCCCUCCCCCGCUUCCACACGGAGGAGCGCACCUUCAACGCCGUCAAGAUCUACCCAGACCUGACCGCCAACGAGCUGGUGCUGACCAUAGUAAAGGGCAUAAACCUCCCUGCGCCAUCAGGAGUCUCUCCCAAUGAUUUGGAUGCCAGUGUGCGCUUUGAAUUUCCCUUCCCCAGCUCGGAAGAUCCCCAGAGAGACAAGACCAACACUGUGAAAGACACCAACUGCCCAGAGUACAAGGAGAAAUUCAAGCUGAACAUCAACAGGACCCACAGGGGCUUCAAGAGGGUGGUGCAGACCAAGGGCAUCAAGUUUGAGGUCAUCCAUAAAGGUGGCCUGUUUAAGGGUGAUAAGGUGGUGGGGAGCGCACAGCUUAAACUGGAAUCUCUGGAGACGCAGUGUGAGAUCAGACAGCUGAUCGAGAUUCUGGACGGGCGGAAGCCCACGGGGGGGCGUCUGGAGGUGCGGGUGAAGAUUCGGGAGCCGCUGGGGGGGCCGCAGCUCCACACGGUCACGGAGAGGUGGCUGGUCCUGGACCCCAUCACAGAGCCCCCCCCGAAAGAGACAACAGGCAGGAGACGAGAGCAGGGACCCCCCCACAAAAAAGAGGUUUCUGCUCCGAAAUCUUCACCUCAUAACGACCACGGGAAGAACAGCGGUCGUCCCCCUCCCCAGUACAAGCUCCACAGCUUCAAACUGCUCAGCUAUGACAAGGAGAGGCUGGACAGUAAGAUCACUGAGUACAAGAGGAGCAGGAGGGAUGUUCCUCCAGACCUGGUGCAGCAGCACAGGGAGCUCAGCCACCGACUGCAGUGGCAGAGUGCACAGCUAGAGAGAGCCUCUCCCAGCCUGGUGUCAGAGUAUGAGAGGGUGUUGCAGCGGCUUGUGCAGGGUCUCGGUGAGGGGGUGAAGAAGUACUCCAGCCAGGGAAACAGAGAGGCGGCUAAGGAGGCCCUGGGGAGGAUGAGGCUGGUGGAGAGCGAGAUGGAGAGCCUGAGGAGGCGACGCACGGUCUGAGCCGGGUGGAGCUGAGGGAGGAGCUGAGGGAGGGGGACUGAGGCACGGGCUGCGUGGUGUUCACCACACACACACUUAGACACACUCACUUAUACACACACACACACACACACACACUUAGACAUGCACACUUAUACACAUACACAUGUACUUAUACACACACACUCGCAUGCACACACACAGACACACUAAAAUAUAUAUAGUGUAUAUACACUUAUACACACACACAAUCUCACACAUGCACACUUAUACAAGCACCUAUAUACACACACACACUCACACCUCACAGUCACAAGCAUACACUCCAAAGAAAUCAGAAAGACACUACAUUCUGAGACCACUGACGCACGUCCCCACAACCUGUUGAUAUCUGCCGUCACUACUCACUGCCACAGCUGGACCUCUUCAGCUGCCUCCUUUUCAUAUAGACAAAACAACCUGGGGACUAAAGGGACUAAAAAGCUGUACGUUAUACUUUAUAGUUUAUUAAGGGCUGGUUGCACUGAAAGCUGGAAUUGAAAUGGUAAUCUGAUCUUUGCAAACUUACUGUCAAAUAUUAAUGAAGAGAGGGGAAAAAACAAAAUA